AGAAAAGUUUCCCUGAGUCUUCAUUAGCUGACUUCUCUGUCCACUGCUCCCCCAGCCGACCAAGCUCACCCCCAAUAAAGGAAGGAGGGGGGGUUCUUUAUUUUUUUUUAAGGCCCCAAAGAGUCCAGGGUUUACAAGACCAGAAAUGCCAUGGCCGCGUCCUGGCAGAAAGAGAGGCCGAAAUGGAGGACCGACGCCUUCCUUAUAAGUCUUCUGAUCUUUUGAAUCCCAGAAGCAAGAAAAUAUAUUUUCAAUACUCUCCCAUCCUCACCCCAACUAUCUCCACAGCCCUAGCCUGGCUUCUGCCCCAUCCAGCUCACUGGGCUGAGCCAAUACCAACCUGGUAGAAAAAGCAACCAUGAAGCCAGAGAGAGAGCCAAAGGAGGGAAGAGAGCACCAGACGGAGAUGAAAAGGAACCGUGCAGAGAAAUGCGGGGAAAGGAGAAGGCUGCAUGUUCACGAACAAACGCGGCUGGAGGGCAAGAGAGGCAUUCACCAAUAGAGGCUUACGUAUGUUUAUUUUAAAACUCUUCUUUUUAAAAUGUAGGGCUUGAUGAGGAAAAGGAAAAACUCAGGAAAGGGGAGGAGAGAGGGAAUUAUUCAAGUCACAGCAUGACAACCCCAGAAGGGGAGAACACUAGCUAAACCCCAUCAGAUGCUUGGAUGCUUGGGUGCUGGAGGUGGAGCAGCACUGGGCUCGCUCCGGCUGGCUCCGAUUUACUGCUGCUCCAAUUUGCCACUGCCCCAUGGACUGUUGGGCUGGGACCUCGAAGCCCCCCUCCUCGAGGCCACCGGGGCUUCUUUGCUGUCCUUAUCAUCUCCAUCUUUAUGACGAGGCUUGUUAACAAGACCAGUGAGCUGGCCACGCACAUCUAUCUCAGCCGUUCAUGCUCAGCCAAGCAGCGGCCGGCAGGGAGACUGAUGAGGCACUAAUUAAUUGAUUCCUUUGGACAGUAAAAUAUGGCCGCAUCUACACGGAACCCAUCAACUCAUAAACAAUAUCUCUGUCGGCUGUGAGUGCAUUGUCUCUCAAAGAAUUUUUCCAUACACAUGUGCCAGGUAGUUCUGGAUUCUUAGCUGCUAAAGAAAGACCCAAGUGGGACUAAUUUUUAGAUAGCCAAAACAGAGUUAGCUCUGUUUUGUCAGAAAAUGUGUCAGAAAAUGCUUUAAGUUAUUACUACUUUUGAAAAAGCGUUAGGAGUGGGUUUUGUUGAAAAAAACUUGGGUUAUGGGAUAACCUUUCCCGGUUGCUUGUGUAGACCCGGCCAAGGUUCAGGAUGAACUGGAGUUGAGGAGCUGGGCAGGCCAGAAUCCUCUUCUUGGUUGGCUGGGACAGAGUGGGGCUGCUCUGGGAUUUGAGAAGAGCAUAGAAAACAAGAUUCAGCCUUUGCUUCAUGCUGCUCCCUAGACUUGAGUUUUAUAAGUAAUUUUUAAAAAUUUAAACAAACCUUAGCUUUCAAGGAGUUCUUUCAUGCCCAGCACACACCCGGAACCUGUCUGUUACACACCUCACCAGAUUGCUGUGAUUCUCCCUUUCUUAACUGACAGCCCAGAGUAACUCUAUAAUAUAUUUAUAUUAGGUCUAGAAGAACACAUCCUGAGACAGAAGGGGUAAUGUAAUUAUACAAUGCUAAUUCCAUAAGGCGUGAUUAUGCAGUCCGACCCUGCUGCAAAUAGGACUUAGGACUCUAAAUAUAGAUCCAGACUUCAGACAUGCAACAGGAAAAUAGAGAUAGGAGACUGCUGGUAUAAAUAAUACAUGUAGACAUAGAAGGGGUUUUGAAGAGAUAGAAAUAAUAGAAAUACAGAAGGACAGAAAAGAGGUUUAGCUGAUGGAGAAUGUCAUUGCCAAUGCCUGAGCUUCCUCCUGCUACUGUUUUUAAGAUCGCCAGAGAAAUGUGUAUUAUAAAUACAAUAAUAUGUGAACCCAAAGUAUGCACUUCAAUGUAUUUGGUACACAUACAUUAUGUAUAUAAACAUAAUUUACAGAAUAUAUUUUUCACACAUUGGGUUGUUAUGUACUUUGUGUCUAUAUAAUAAUAUGAUGUAUUUUCCAUGAAGUUUUUAAUGUGAAUAUAUUGAUAUCUGGGUUCAUUUUCCAUGUAUUGAUUUUAUAUGCCCUUUGGAGUGUACACACCCAUGUAGCUACAUAGAUGCAGGACUGUACCUUCCCUGUGUAGUAGCAAGUGUACUAUUUAUAUAUGUAAAUGAAUUUUUACAUGUGAUGGGUAUAUAUGCUAUAUGCAGUCUUCUCCCCAGAGGUUGCAUUCCCAUACAAUAAAGUGCCUCUGUAUGUAUAUUUUCUAGAGAAAUAUAUUUUCCAUGCCCAGAAUGUACAUGUAAUAGAGAUCUCUGUGCAUUUUAGACCGUUUCAAUAUAUUGGU
Molecule: long non-coding RNA, 2384 nt
Organism: Camelus dromedarius (Arabian camel)
Lineage: Eukaryota; Metazoa; Chordata; Mammalia; Artiodactyla; Camelidae
Exons: 3
Source: RefSeq, a predicted model, not a curated record